This 726-nucleotide ribosomal RNA is filed under the name uncultured bacterium. Its description in RNAcentral is "bacterial SSU rRNA". It matches the Rfam family "Bacterial small subunit ribosomal RNA", at positions 139 to 853 of the family's 1533-position model. The record is from RNAcentral.
UGGAAUACUCCGGGAAACCGGGGCUAAUGCCGGAUAAUAUUUAGAACCGCAUGGUUCUAAAGUGAAAGAUGGUUUUACUAUCACUUAUAGAUGGACCCGCGCCGUAUUAGCUAGUUGGUGGGGUAAUGGCUUACCAAGGCAACGAUACGUAGCCGACCUGAGAGGGUGAUCGGCCACACUGGAACUGAGACACGGUCCGGACUCCUACGGGAGGCAGCAGUAGGGAAUCUUCCGCAAUGGGCGAAAGCCUGACGGAGCAACGCCGCGUGAGUGAUGAAGGUCUUCGGAUCGUAAAACUCUGCUAUUAGGGAAGAACAAAUGUGUAAGUAACUGUGCACGUCUUGACGGUACCUAAUCAGAAAGCCACGGCUAACUACGUGCCAGCAGCCGCGGUAAUACGUAGGUGGCAAGCGUUAUCCGGAAUUAUUGGGCGUAAAGCGCGCGUAGGCGGUUUCUUAAGUCUGAUGUGAAAGCCCACGGCUCAACCGUGGAGGGUCAUUGGAAACUGGGAAACUUGAGUGCAGAAGAGGAAAGUGGAAUUCCAUGUGUAGCGGUGAAAUGCGCAGAGAUAUGGAGGAACACCAGUGGCGAAGGCGACUUUCUGGUCUGUAACUGACGCUGAUGUGCGAAAGCGUGGGGAUCAAACAGGAUUAGAUACCCUGGUAGUCCACGCCGUAAACGAUCAGUAAGAGUGUUAGGGGGUUUCCGCCCCUUAGUGCUGCAGCU